CUCUGUGACUCCUACGGGAGGCAGCAGUGGGGAAUAUUGCACAAUGGGCGCAAGCCUGAUGCAGCCAUGCCGCGUGUGUGAAGAAGGCCUUCGGGUUGUAAAAGCACUUUCAGUUGUGAGGAAGGUGGUGUCGUUAAUAGCGGCAUCAUUUGACGUUAGCAACAGAAGAAGCACCGGCUAACUCCGUGCCAGCAGCCGCGGUAAUACGGAGGGUGCGAGCGUUAAUCGGAAUUACUGGGCGUAAAGCGCAUGCAGGUGGUUUGUUAAGUCAGAUGUGAAAGCCCGGGGCUCAACCUCGGAACUGCAUUUGAAACUGGCAGACUAGAGUACUGUAGAGGGGGGUAGAAUUUCAGGUGUAGCGGUGAAAUGCGUAGAGAUCUGAAGGAAUACCGGUGGCGAAGGCGGCCCCCUGGACAGAUACUGACACUCAGAUGCGAAAGCGUGGGGAGCAAACAGGAUUAGAUACCCUGGUAG
This 474-nucleotide ribosomal RNA is filed under the name uncultured bacterium. Its description in RNAcentral is "bacterial SSU rRNA". It matches the Rfam family "Bacterial small subunit ribosomal RNA", at positions 328 to 793 of the family's 1533-position model. The record is from RNAcentral.